CCUACGGGAGGCAGCAGUGAGGAAUAUUGGUCAAUGGGCGGGAGCCUGAACCAGCCAAGCCGCGUGAGGGAAGAAGGUACAGCGUAUCGUAACCCUCUUUUGUCAGGGACCAAAGGCGGGGACUAGUCCCCGGAUGAGGGUACCUGAAGAAAAAGCAUCGGCUAACUCCGUGCCAGCAGCCGCGGUAAUACGGAGGAUGCGAGCGUUUUCCGGAUUUAUUGGGUUUAAAGGGUGCGCAGGCGGCCUGUUAAGUCAGCGGGAAAAGCCCGGGGCUCAACCCCGGCGAGCCGUUGAAACUGGCGGGCUGGAGUUGGAGAGAAGUACGCGGAAUGCGCGGUGUAGCGGUGAAAUGCUUAGAUAUCGCGCAGAACCCCGAUUGCGAAGGCAGCGUACCGGCUCCACACUGACGCUGAGGCACGAAAGCGUGGGUAUCGAACAGGAUUAGAUACCCUUGUAGUC
This 459-nucleotide ribosomal RNA is filed under the name uncultured bacterium. RNAcentral describes it as "partial 16S ribosomal RNA". It matches the Rfam family "Bacterial small subunit ribosomal RNA", at positions 338 to 795 of the family's 1533-position model. The record is from RNAcentral.